This 327-nucleotide ribosomal RNA is filed under the name uncultured eukaryote. RNAcentral's name for it is "partial 18S ribosomal RNA". It matches the Rfam family "Eukaryotic small subunit ribosomal RNA", at positions 1470 to 1796 of the family's 1831-position model. The record is from RNAcentral.
CCCUUAGAUGUUCUGGGCCGCACACGCGCUACACUGAAGGAGGCAGCGUGUACUCCUGGAUCGAAAGAUUUGGGUAACCCGCGAAUCUCCUUCGUGCUAGGGAUUGAGGUUUGCAAUUAUCCUUCAUGAACGUGGAAUUCCCAGUAAGUGCAAGUCAUAAGCUUGCGCUGACUACGUCCCUGCCCUUUGUACACACCGCCCGUCGCUACUACCGAUUGAAUGAUUUAGUGAGGACUUCGGACUGGGACCGAUGCGGCUUUCGGGCUGCGUCGGUAUUCUGGAAAGAUGUCCAAACUGUAUCAUUUAGAGGAAGUAAAAGUCGUANCA